Molecule: ribosomal RNA, 396 nt
Filed under: uncultured bacterium
Lineage: Bacteria
Description: bacterial SSU rRNA
Rfam family: Bacterial small subunit ribosomal RNA
Source: RNAcentral
GACGAACGCUGGCGGCGUGCUUAACACAUGCAAGUGGAGCGACGAACCAGGCUUCGGCCUGGGGGCAGAGCCGCGAACGGGUGAGUAACACGUGGGUAACCUGCCCUGAUGAUCGGGACAACCCGGGGAAACCCGGGCUAAUACCGAAUGUGCCCGCAAGCCACAAGGCUUGCGAGGAAAGGAAGCUUCGGCCUCCGCAUCGGGAUGGGCCCGCGGCCCAUUAGCUUGUUGGUGGGGUAACGGCCUACCAAGGCAGCAAUGGGUAGCUGGUCUGAGAGGACGAUCAGCCACACUGGGACUGAGACACGGCCCAGACUCCUACGGGAGGCAGCAGUGGGGAAUCUUGCGCAAUGGGCGAAAGCCUGACGCAGCGACGCCGCGUGAGGGAUGACGGCC